CACCGCCCGUCACACCAUGAAAGUUGGGCCUACCAGAAGUCAUUGCGAUAACCGUAAGGAGUCAGAUGCCCAAGGUAGGAUCGAUGAUUGGGGUG
This 95-nucleotide ribosomal RNA is filed under the name uncultured bacterium. RNAcentral's name for it is "partial 16S ribosomal RNA". It matches the Rfam family "Bacterial small subunit ribosomal RNA", at positions 1388 to 1482 of the family's 1533-position model. The record is from RNAcentral.